This 490-nucleotide ribosomal RNA is filed under the name uncultured bacterium. Its description in RNAcentral is "partial 16S ribosomal RNA". It matches the Rfam family "Bacterial small subunit ribosomal RNA", at positions 30 to 507 of the family's 1533-position model. The record is from RNAcentral.
AUUGAACGCUGGCGGCAGGCCUAACACAUGCAAGUCGAACGGUAACAGGAAGCAGCUUGCUGCUUCGCUGACGAGUGGCGGACGGGUGAGGAAUGUCUGGGAAACUGCCUGAUGGAGGGGGAUAACUACUGGAAACGGUAGCUAAUACCGCAUAACGUCGCAAGACCAAAGAGGGGGACCUUAGGGCCUCUUGCCAUCGGAUGUGCCCAGAUGGGAUUAGCUAGUAGGUGGGGUAACGGCUCACCUAGGCGACGAUCCCUAGCUGGUCUGAGAGGAUGACCAGCCACACUGGAACUGAGACACGGUCCAGACUCCUACGGGAGGCAGCAGUGGGGAAUAUUGCACAAUGGGCGCAAGCCUGAUGCAGCCAUGCCGCGUGUAUGAAGAAGGCCUUCGGGUUGUAAAGUACUUUCAGCGGGGAGGAAGGGAGUAAAGUUAAUACCUUUGCUCAUUGACGUUACCCGCAGAAGAAGCACCGGCUAACUCCGUG